GUACAUCUGGUGGAUGAUAUACGUACAAUCUUUGUGGCACUCGAGUAGGAUCCGUGGUAACUGAUCGAGGCCUUCACAUGGCGAAUCCACGACGUUGAUGCGAUAGUAUAGAUGGGGGAAUGCAAAAGGCAAGAGGAAUGAUAUAUAUGUACCAGCAGUUAGCCAGUUACACAUCAUCAUCAUUACUUCAACCUGUUUAAGUAAUAUAUAUACGUAGUAUGUAGCUGCAACGUACCCAUGGUUUCCGUAUGCGUGGGCCAGACUGCAUGCCACGAGAUAAACCUUCGUUCCUUAGUUGACUUUUUGGCUAUCUUUUCUAGGCACAUUCUUUUUUUCAAAAAAAAAAAAAAUCUUUCGGUAGCUGUUUGCGGACCGAACAUAUACACGCGCAUCCAGAAUUGUACUAUAUGAAAAAGCUUUAUAUCCACAACCCCUCUAGGGACGCCAUAACAUAUACGCGUCUGCAGUAGUAAUACUAUAAAUAUAUUAUAUUGACGUGCGUAUAUAGUAAAACGAAAGUAGCACUGCUGCAUGUUCGGGUAUUAGCAUCAGUCGAGAAGGGCUUGUUGCCC
Molecule: long non-coding RNA, 572 nt
Filed under: Sorghum bicolor (sorghum)
Lineage: Eukaryota; Viridiplantae; Streptophyta; Magnoliopsida; Poales; Poaceae
Description: long non-coding RNA (SBIC_LNC006457)
Source: RNAcentral